AACCCCAAUCAAUAGAUUCACGGCGUAAAACGUGUUUAAGAACUCCAAGUAAUAAAGUUAAACCUUAGCUACGCCGUAAAAAGCCCCAGCUACUGUAAACUCCUCCACGAAAGUGACUUUAGACCAUCUGAAUACACGACAGCUGAGACCCAAACUGGGAUUAGAUACCCCACUAUGCUCAGCCCUAAACUUAAAGAAUUAACCCAACAAAAUUCUUCGCCAGAGUACUACUAGCUAAAGCUUAAAACUCAAAGGACUUGGCGGUGCUUCACAUCCUUCUAGAGGAGCCUGUUCUAUAAUCGAUAAACCCCGAUAAACCUCACCAACCCUUGCCAACU
RNAcentral lists this ribosomal RNA (338 nucleotides) under Phyllostomus discolor (pale spear-nosed bat). RNAcentral's name for it is "partial 12S ribosomal RNA". It matches the Rfam family "Bacterial small subunit ribosomal RNA", at positions 536 to 989 of the family's 1533-position model. Lineage: Eukaryota; Metazoa; Chordata; Mammalia; Chiroptera; Phyllostomidae. The record is from RNAcentral.